GAGUUAAUUUCACCGACGCUUCCGUGUGCGUUCACCCUGACGAAAUGGCCAGCGGCGGCGGACUAGUACUCAACUACGCCCAGGUUUAUUCAAUGGACGAGCUCGGCCUGCCAGACAACUCCAUCAGGUCAGUGUCGCGCGGCUGCUCCAGCGACCGCAUUGUGGGGACCCCGCCCCAGGCUGGCGUUGAGAGGCUCCCAGCCGCGGCGUCACCUGCUAAUUAACGGAUGAAGGCAUUCCUGGCGCUCUGGAACUGUAUGAUGGAAUUUGGCGUUAACUUAGCUGCUAUAUCAUAUUUUCUACUUGAAAGAAGUGAUAAUUAAAAAUAGGGGUAACAAAUAGCAAAUUAAUACUAUACAGAUUUAUUCGACGUGUAAAGAUUUAUUCGACGUGUAACAUACCUAAAAAUAAUAUAAAUAAAAAUUACCCGAAGUGUA
Long non-coding RNA from Hyalella azteca, 437 nucleotides. RefSeq lists it as uncharacterized. Lineage: Eukaryota; Metazoa; Arthropoda; Malacostraca; Amphipoda; Hyalellidae. The record is from RefSeq and is a predicted model, not a curated record. The transcript is spliced from 2 exons.